This 279-nucleotide ribosomal RNA is filed under the name uncultured Pseudomonas sp. RNAcentral describes it as "partial 16S ribosomal RNA". It matches the Rfam family "Bacterial small subunit ribosomal RNA", at positions 1107 to 1382 of the family's 1533-position model. Lineage: Bacteria; Pseudomonadati; Pseudomonadota; Gammaproteobacteria; Pseudomonadales; Pseudomonadaceae. The record is from RNAcentral.
GUCCUUAGUUACCAGCACGUUAUGGUGGGCACUCUAAGGAGACUGCCGGUGGACAAACCGGAGGAAGGUGGGGAAUGACGUCAAGUCAUCAUGGCCCUUACGGCCUGGGCUACACACGUGCUACAAUGGUCGGUACAAAGGGUUGCCAAGCCGCGAGGUGGAGCUAAAUCCCAUAAAACCGAUCGUAGUCCGGAUCGCAGUCUGCAACUCGACUGCGUGAAGUCGGAAUCGCUAGUAAUCGUGAAUCAGAAUGUCACGGUGAAUACGUUCCCGGGCCUU